AUUGAACGCUGGCGGCAUGCCUAACACAUGCAAGUCGAACGGCAGCACGGCAGUAGCAAUACUGUGGGUGGCGAGUGGCGGACGGGUGAGGAAUACGUCGGAAUCUGCCCAGUCGUGGGGGAUAACUAGCCGAAAGGUUAGCUAAUACCGCAUACGACCGAGAGGUGAAAGCGGGGGACCGCAAGGCCUCGCGCGAUUGGAUGAGCCGACGUCGAAUUAGCUAGUUGGAGGGGUAAAGGCCCACCAAGGCGACGAUCCGUAGCUGGUCUGAGAGGAUGAUCAGCCACACUGGAACUGAGACACGGUCCAGACUCCUACGGGAGGCAGCAGUGGGGAAUAUUGGACAAUGGGCGCAAGCCUGAUCCAGCAAUGCCGCGUGUGUGAAGAAGGCCUUCGGGUUGUAAAGCACUUUUAUCAGGAACGAAAAGCGUUAGAUUAAUACUCUGGCGUGCUGACGGUACCUGAGGAAUAAGCACCGGCUAACUUCGUG
Molecule: ribosomal RNA, 490 nt
Filed under: uncultured bacterium
Lineage: Bacteria
Description: bacterial SSU rRNA
Rfam family: Bacterial small subunit ribosomal RNA
Source: RNAcentral